This 469-nucleotide ribosomal RNA is filed under the name uncultured bacterium. RNAcentral's name for it is "partial 16S ribosomal RNA". It matches the Rfam family "Bacterial small subunit ribosomal RNA", at positions 28 to 507 of the family's 1533-position model. The record is from RNAcentral.
GAUGAACGCUGGCGGCGUGCUUAACACAUGCAAGUCGAACGGUGAACACGGAGCUUGCUCUGUGGGAUCAGUGGCGAACGGGUGAGUAACACGUGAGCAACCUGCCCCUGACUCUGGGAUAAGCGCUGGAAACGGCGUCUAAUACUGGAUAUGUGACGUGACCGCAUGGUCUGCGUUUGGAAAGAUUUUUCGGUUGGGGAUGGGCUCGCGGCCUAUCAGCUUGUUGGUGAGGUAAUGGCUCACCAAGGCGUCGACGGGUAGCCGGCCUGAGAGGGUGACCGGCCACACUGGGACUGAGACACGGCCCAGACUCCUACGGGAGGCAGCAGUGGGGAAUAUUGCACAAUGGGCGCAAGCCUGAUGCAGCAACGCCGCGGGAGGGAUGACGGCCUUCGGGUUGUAAACCUCUUUUAGCAGGGAAGAAGCGAAAGUGACGGUACCUGCAGAAAAAGCGCCGGCUAACUACGUG